UCGCCGCCGACGACGUCGCGAGAAGUCCACUGAACCUUAUCAUUUAGAGGAAGGAGAAGUCGUAACAAGGUUUCCGUAGGUGAACCUGCGGAAGGAUCAUUGUCGAUGCCUGCAAUGCAGAACGACCCGCGAAUCGUUUCUCAACACCCGGGACGCCGGCGGGCGUUUAGCUKKUCGGUAUCCCGGCGCUUCGGACGUUGAGGGUGCGAGCCACCCCCAGCGGAUGGAGCAUCAAACCCACCCCGGCGUGCAAAGCGCCAAGGUACUCCAACGGUAGGGCAUGCACCCGUAGGCCUGGACUCCAGAGCGUUCGGGUUGCUGUUCGGUGUCAUAAAUCUAAACGACUGUGUGAAUUGCAGAAUCCCGUGAACCAUCGAGUCUUUGAACGCAAGUUGCGCCCGAAGCUUUGGCUGAGGGCACGCCUGCCUGGGUGUCACACAUCGCGUUGCCUCCAAAACCUUUUUCCCCCCGUAACAGCUGGGGUGAUGGUUUGGAUGCAGAAGAUGGCCUCCCGUGGCCACGUGCUACGGAUGGCCCGAAUCUUUGCUGGGGAAGCGAAGCGCCACGGCGUUCGGUGGUCGGCACAUAGCCCCCCGAGGCAGUGAAGCCCGUGGUAGCCGCGAUAGUCCCCCGUCUACGACCCUUAUCACUAACCAACGCGACCUCAGGUCAGGCGGGGCUACCCGCUGAGUUUAAGCAUAUCAAUAAGCGGAGG
RNAcentral lists this ribosomal RNA (715 nucleotides) under Combretum pisoniiflorum. Its description in RNAcentral is "eukaryotic LSU rRNA". The record is from RNAcentral. Lineage: Eukaryota; Viridiplantae; Streptophyta; Magnoliopsida; Myrtales; Combretaceae.